This 357-nucleotide transfer-messenger RNA is filed under the name Clostridium sp. It matches the Rfam family "transfer-messenger RNA". From Rfam's summary of the family: Bacterial tmRNA, also known as 10Sa RNA or SsrA, is named for its dual tRNA and mRNA-like properties. Its role is to liberate the mRNA from a stalled ribosome. To accomplish this part of the tmRNA is used as a reading frame that ends in a translation stop signal. The record is from RNAcentral. Lineage: Bacteria; Bacillati; Bacillota; Clostridia; Eubacteriales; Clostridiaceae. RNAcentral also lists the same sequence under 2 other names.
GGGGGUGUACUGAUUUCGACGGGGGUACAUGACGCAUAGGAAGCGAGUAGAGGGAACUCAUGGGCCCGCUUUAAAAAACUAUGGGAUUAAAGAUAAACGCAGAAGACAAUUUUGCAUUAGCAGCUUAAUAUAGCCGCUCGUUCUACCUUUGAGGCCCACGGCUUAGGAUAGGGCGUCGAUUAGUGGGGAACCGCACUUAGGAAAGCUUUGACUUAAGGACGGAAUUUAUGAAGCUACUAAAGUAGAAACCCGGUUUCUAGGGGUUCUAUGGAGGGAAUGUUAAAAUAGAAACUGCACUCGGAGAUGCCUAUGUGGAGUGGCUUUCGGACAGGGGUUUGAUUCCCCUCACCUCCACCA